CGGGGUAUAGCUCAGUGAUAGAGUGUGUGCUUAGCAUGCAUGAGGUCCUGGAUUCAAUCCCCAGUACCUCCA
Molecule: transfer RNA, 72 nt
Filed under: Camelus bactrianus (Bactrian camel)
Lineage: Eukaryota; Metazoa; Chordata; Mammalia; Artiodactyla; Camelidae
Also listed under: 2 other names
Rfam family: tRNA
About the family: Transfer RNA (tRNA) molecules are approximately 80 nucleotides in length.
Source: Rfam by way of RNAcentral